Molecule: ribosomal RNA, 467 nt
Filed under: uncultured bacterium
Lineage: Bacteria
Description: partial 16S ribosomal RNA
Rfam family: Bacterial small subunit ribosomal RNA
Source: RNAcentral
GACGAACGCUGGCGGCGUGCUUAACACAUGCAAGUCGAACGGAAAGGCCCUGCUUUUGUGGGGUGCUCGAGAGGCGAACGGGUGAGUAACACGUGAGUAACCUGCCCUUGACUUUGGGAUAACUUCAGGAAACUGGGGCUAAUACCGGAUAGGAGCUCCUGCUGCAUGGUGGGGGUUGGAAAGUUUCGGCGGUUGGGGAUGGACUCGCGGCUUAUCAGCUUGUUGGUGGGGUAGUGGCUUACCAAGGCUUUGACGGGUAGCCGGCCUGAGAGGGUGACCGGCCACAUUGGGACUGAGAUACGGCCCAGCCUCCUACGGGAGGCAGCAGUGGGGAAUAUUGCACAAUGGGCGGAGGCCGGAUGCAGCAACGCCGCGUGCGGGAUGACGGCCUUCGGGUUGGAAACCGCUUUCGCCUGUGACGAGGCGUGAGUGACGGUAAUGGGGAAAGAAGCACCGGCUAACUACGU